This 662-nucleotide ribosomal RNA is filed under the name uncultured bacterium. RNAcentral describes it as "bacterial LSU rRNA". It matches the Rfam family "Bacterial large subunit ribosomal RNA", at positions 146 to 656 of the family's 2925-position model. The record is from RNAcentral.
CCGUACCGUACCGUAACGUAACGUAACGUAACGGUACGGUACGGUACGGUACGGGUACGGGGUAACGGGUAACGGGGUAACGGGUAACGGUAAACGUAACGUACGUACCGUACGUAACCGUAACCGUAACGAACGUAAACGUAAACGUAAACCGUACGUACUACGUUAACGUAGUACGGUACGACGACGACGACGGACGGACGGACCGAACCGACGUACGUACGUGUAGUAGUAGUACGUCGACGACGUCGUCGUCGAGUAGUCGGUGUGGUCGGGCCGGGGAUCUGAUCGAACUGUCAAUCGAUCGAACAGUAAGAAAUGAUUGAUGAAGUCGAAGCACUUUUGGGUAAAGUGUCGGCACAGAAGGUAACAACCCCUGUAGACGUAAACCAAUCACUGUUGAUCGUCACCCCAAGUAGCACCCAACCCCUGAAAUUGGGUGUGAAUCUGGCGGGACCACCCGCUAAGCCUAAAUACUCCUUGGUGACCGAUAGCGGACAAGUACCGUGAGGGAAAGGUGAAAAGUACCCCGGGAGGGGAGUGAAAUAGUACCUGAAACCGUGCGCUUACAAUCCGUUGGNAGCACCCUUGUUGGUGUGACAGCGUGUCCUUUUGAAGAAUGAGCCUGCGAGUUAGUGUUACGUCGCGAGAUUAACCCGUGU